GAUCCUGGCUUAGGAUGAACGCUAGCUACAGGCUUAACACAUGCAAGUCGAGGGGCAGCAUGUUGGUUGCUGCAACCGAUGAUGGCGACCGGCGCACGGGUGAGUAACGCGUAUCCAACCUUCCCCUUAGUAGGGCAUAGCCCGUAGAAAUGCGGAUUAAUACCCUAUGUUCUUCGAAGCGGUCAUCCAAUUUGAAGCAAAGAUUCAUCGCUAAGGGAUGGGGAUGCGUCCGAUUAGGUUGUUGGCGGGGUAACGGCCCACCAAGCCAUCGAUCGGUAGGGGUUCUGAGAGGAAGGUCCCCCACAUUGGAACUGAGACACGGUCCAAACUCCUACGGGAGGCAGCAGUGAGGAAUAUUGGUCAAUGGGCGAGAGCCUGAACCAGCCAAGUAGCCGUGCAGGAUGACGGCCCUAUGGGUUGUAAACUGCUUUUAUCAGGGGAUAAAGUGACCCACGUGUGGGUUUUUGUAGGUACCUGAUGAAUAAGGACCGGCUAAUUCCGUGCCAGCAGCCGC
RNAcentral lists this ribosomal RNA (514 nucleotides) under uncultured bacterium. RNAcentral's name for it is "bacterial SSU rRNA". It matches the Rfam family "Bacterial small subunit ribosomal RNA", at positions 15 to 518 of the family's 1533-position model. The record is from RNAcentral.